Molecule: long non-coding RNA, 284 nt
Filed under: Homo sapiens (human)
Lineage: Eukaryota; Metazoa; Chordata; Mammalia; Primates; Hominidae
Description: non-protein coding lnc-TSN-6:2
Source: RNAcentral
GAAGAUUUGGUAUAUUUGCUGGCCAGAAAGCAAGGAACUGUUCUAACAAACUUUCUGAAUCUCUGAAAAAAACUCAUGAAAAGAAGAGUGAAGGAGGCAGAGUCCCGGAUAUUCUUAGCCAGACCCUCCAUGAGCUUGGCUGCCAUCUGACACAAACAUGUCAGCGGGGACGGAAGAUGAGCACGGGCCAUCCAGGAAACAGUUGAAAAUGUGGAAUUGAAUGUCAUAAAGAAGGUCAAGAUUGAAGACAGCCAGUUUGCAAUAAAGUACUAUUAAAAUGGAAA